UGGGGAAUAUUGGACAAUGGGCGCAAGCCUGAUCCAGCCAUACCGCGUGGGUGAAGAAGGCCUUCGGGUUGUAAAGCCCUUUUGUUGGGAAAGAAAUCCAGCUGGUUAAUACCCGGUUGGGAUGACGGUACCCAAAGAAUGAGCACCGGCUAACUUCGUG
Molecule: ribosomal RNA, 160 nt
Filed under: uncultured bacterium
Lineage: Bacteria
Description: partial 16S ribosomal RNA
Rfam family: Bacterial small subunit ribosomal RNA
Source: RNAcentral